UACGCCUGACAACAAACCAUUCGAACCCGCUCGCUAAGCCCCGCCCAUCCAGCCACCACCGCUACCGUAGCAACAGCGGCAUGCUAAUUUAGCUCAGCGCUGCUUAAACUGCAAACCCUGUCAGCAUCCCGGAUCCAGCAAACAUUUAUAAAGAGUUUCGGGCAGUUUUAAACUCGGAGGGGACAAAACUUAUAUCCGGGAUGUGCUCCGUGGUCGGAUGUGAUUCGCUUCGUCGCAGUGCGCAACGGUUCAAGUUACCGGAGGACCCGGAGAGGAGGCUGGAGUGGGUUCAGUUUCUGGCCACAGUCAAUAAACAGCGAUUUAAAGAGUCAUCGUGGACUGACAUCACUAUCUGUCGGGAACACUUUGACGAUGACUGCUUCGUACAGCUCACUGACAGCGUGCAGCUGAAGCCUGGUUCUGUUCCAACAGUGUGUCCACAGUCAGAGGAUCCAGAGCCGAACCUGGGCAGCAGUAAAUGUGAGAUGUUCCUAACACUGACAGGUGCGUAAUGUGCCAUUACAGCUGUAGUGUUUCCAUGCAGUAGGUCUAUAUGCUAAUACUGUGGAAGAGUCUGUGGAUAACACAGAAGUUGUUUAUGAACAUGAUCGACUCAGAACAUGUGAUGGCCCAACUGUAUGUUCGGAAGACUCAAGGCCAGCUUCAUCGGCCUCCCAAGAAGGCCUGGCCCCCAGAGACGUCUCAUGUCCAGAUGAUCCCUCAGAUGCAUUCAUAUCUACAUAUAAUCAGA
Molecule: long non-coding RNA, 751 nt
Organism: Amphiprion ocellaris (clown anemonefish)
Lineage: Eukaryota; Metazoa; Chordata; Actinopteri; Pomacentridae
Source: Ensembl